GGAGUUAGCCGGUGCUUCUUCUGUGAGUGAUGUCCUUCCUGCCGGUUAUUGACCCGCAGGCCUUCUUCCUCACUGAAAGUGCUUUACAACCCGAAGGCCUUCUUCACACACGCGGCAUGGCUGGAUCAGGGUUGCCCCCAUUGUCCAAUAUUCCCCACUGCUGCCUCCCGUAGGAGUCUGGGCCGUGUCUCAGUCCCAGUGUGGCUGAUCAUCCUCUCAGACCAGCUACGGAUCGUCGCCUUGGUGAGCCGUUACCUCACCAACCAGCUAAUCCGACAUAGGCUCAUCCGAUAGCGCGAGGCCCGAAGGUCCCCCGCUUUCCCCCGUAGGGCGUAUGCGGUAUUAGCCUGGGUUUCCCCAGGUUAUCCCCCACUACCGGGCAGAUUCCUAUGCAUUACUCACCCGUCCGCCGCUCGCCACCAGGGAGCAAGCUCCCCGUGCUGCCGCUCGACUUGCAUGUGUUAGGCCUGCCGCCAGCGUUCAAUCUGAGCCANAAUCAAACCUCUGA
Molecule: ribosomal RNA, 508 nt
Filed under: uncultured bacterium
Lineage: Bacteria
Description: partial 16S ribosomal RNA
Source: RNAcentral